This 373-nucleotide ribosomal RNA is filed under the name uncultured organism. Its description in RNAcentral is "partial 16S ribosomal RNA". It matches the Rfam family "Bacterial small subunit ribosomal RNA", at positions 527 to 896 of the family's 1533-position model. The record is from RNAcentral.
GUAGGUGGCAAGCGUUGUCCGGAAUUAUUGGGCGUAAAGCGCGCGCAGGCGGUUCUUUAAGUCUGAUGUGAAAGCCCACGGGCUCAACCGUGGAGGGUCAUUGGAAACUGGAGAACUUGAGUACAGAAGAGGAAAGCGGAAUUCCACGUGUAGCGGUGAAAUGUGUAGAGAUGUGGAGGAACACCAGUGGCGAAGGCGGCUUUCUGGUCUGUAACUGACGCUGAGGCGCGAAAGCGUGGGGAGCAAACAGGAUUAGAUACCCUGGUAGUCCACGCCGUAAACGAUGAGUGCUAAGUGUUAGGGGGUUUCCGCCCCUUAGUGCUGCAGCUAACGCAUUAAGCACUCCGCCUGGGGAGUACGGCCGCAAAGGCUG